This 67-nucleotide transfer RNA is filed under the name Rana kukunoris (plateau brown frog). Its description in RNAcentral is "tRNA-Ser". The record is from RNAcentral. Lineage: Eukaryota; Metazoa; Chordata; Amphibia; Anura; Ranidae.
GAGCUCAACUGGUGUAAUGGGAACUGCUAAUUACCUAUGGCUACAGUUCAAUUCUGUAGUUUGCUCA